This 1348-nucleotide long non-coding RNA is filed under the name Lathyrus oleraceus (garden pea). Its description in RNAcentral is "Pisum sativum (pea) long non-coding RNA (PSAT_LNC020003)". The record is from RNAcentral. Lineage: Eukaryota; Viridiplantae; Streptophyta; Magnoliopsida; Fabales; Fabaceae.
AUUGCUUGUAAAAUUCACAUGUUCCUUCUCUUUUCUCUUCCAAGUUCUAGCUAAACUACUUCUAUUGAAAACAUGGAUUGAUUUGAUCAUUUGAUGACCCUUUCCAAUACUCUUACUGUUAAAGGUAAAUUGUUCAUCAAUUUUAUUGUUUUAUGUACUGUUUUGUUCUUCCAAGUUUCAAGUUCAUCACAAUUCACACCCCUUUUGCCUCUCUUUUUUUCAUGUGUUAUACUUGCUGAUUUUUGUUUUUGAUGCUAAACUUUAUGUGUAAUUCAAAUUAAAAUAUGUUGCGUUUUGUUUCAUGUUAUGUGACCAAAAGGUCACGGUUGAAGUUACCAUGUUAAUUACAAGGCAAGAAACUUUAUAUUUAAAUCAAAGUGGAGGUAUCUUUCUUCUUUGCCAUUAUAUGUGUUUAGUUUUGUGGGAGACAAUGGAAUGGUUUUUCUUGCCUUUGAUAUCAAGAGAUAUUUCUUUCUCCUUUAUGUCUGAUGAAUUAAGAAAAAGUCAUCUUCUCAUCAUUCCCUUCAAUUCAAUUUGUCUCACAUUCUAAGGAUACUAUUAAGACCUCUGAGAAUUAUAUUAUAGGGUAGUAUAUGUUUAUAAGUGAAAUACAAUUUUCAUUUUAUAAAUCGGUUUUAUAGGAUUGAGUUAGUCUCACUCACAAUUUUUAAAAUGAUAUCAGAGUCUAUUCAAGAUCUAUUGGACUACCUACUAGACCGCUACCAGGUUGUUUCCAAUAUCAGUUCACCUGUCUUGAGGUUUCACAGCGAUGUAACUUGGAAGACAAGUUUCAAAUUGCUUUUAUAUUAUGUUCAAAUCAGAAGACAGUUUUAGUGCAGGUUUGGAUUCACUUUAGAGUUUCGACACGAUUAAGUUAAAAUCGGUAUACAGAUGGUCAAUUACACCUACAAGUAAUCAAGAGAAUGAUAUUUGAUUAUAUCAGAAUGUACUAACUUCUAAAUAUUGUUCUGUUAGGUACAAUACUACAAAUGUAAGAACUCAUAAUCAUUUCCAUUCACAAAUAUAUGUGCUUUUUUUGUUUAAUUUACAUGUUUUUUUUUUAAACAAUACACUUGUGGUAUAUAUUUAACAGCAUGAUAUAAAUAUGUACAAGGAAAUAAGGAAAAAAAAUACAAUUGAGCAAAAGAAUUAAGUUCAUCAAAGCAAAUCCUUCACAUUUUCACAACAAUUUCAAAUAAUCUAUUUCUUUGGUAUAUUUAAUAAGACAAAUCCUUCUUGUUCUUCUUCGAAGUUGCAAGAUCUUCAAUAUCCUUUCCAUGCUCCAAGAACUUCGGCGAAGACUUCAGAAAUGAGAUCCCUGUCUGCAUUUUGGAGGAACGUAUUGAAA